This is a long non-coding RNA of Lingula anatina, 918 nucleotides long. Lineage: Eukaryota; Metazoa; Brachiopoda; Lingulata; Lingulida; Lingulidae. The record is from RefSeq and is a predicted model, not a curated record.
CACAGUUGGGUGAGGACGCAACAACAUUUUGUGUGGUGCAGUCGCAAGGUCGAGCUUUAUGAUGGAGUGAAAGCAAAUACAUCGAUUUGUGGGACUUGGGCUACCUGUUUUAAUUAAGAUUAUGCUCUGAAAAAUCUUAUUGUGAGGAGCGCACCGAGCUACUGCACAACAGAUACCUGCAAGCCACUUAGCCUUUGGUUCACAUGGAGGACCUAAAAGCCCAUUAAUGCACCUAUUAUAUUCAGACUUAAUAAAAUAAUUUUUAAAUUCUACGAAUUUUACUUUUGAUUUGAAAUUAUGACGAUGAAGAUAAAAGUGAUUAUAAGGGAAAUAGGUUAUUAUAUAGAUGUGAUAAUUGUUUGAGAACUUGACGAUCGUGCGAUUUUUCAAUUGUACCUUAAGAAAUCUAAAAAUGAAAUUGUUUAAAAGCUUUGUUAAUAUGCACAAUUUGUAAUGAAAUUUAAGCGUUUGAAAUAUCUUUAUCCACUAAAAGAAUGUCACUAAAAGUUUUAUUCCAACAACCCACAAUGAUGCUUAAAUUAUAAAUUUACAAUAUUGUAUUUUGAAAAUCCAUUCUCAAAAUUAGAGUUAAAUAACCCUUGGAACAAAUCCAUUCGUCCUCCUGAAUAACAUCUAUUUUCCAAUUACCUUAAUGUAGUACAAAGGUCCAUUUUGACGUGUUCUGGCGUUUGCUACGGAAAAUUGAUUUAAAAUUGACGACUUCUUCAAUACUGAAUAGAAUAAUGAAAAAGGGAGAUAUCCUGACGCAAAAUUUAUGUCAACAGUUUAAUUUGUCCAAAAAUUGAGCCUUUAUUUACUGAUUGUAUAAGAUUGACCACAUUUUUCCAUUCCUGUUCUUUGAAAAAAAGUUUCCUUCCUCAAUUUAUUUUUGAAAUAUACCUAAUUCAAUCGUGUUUU